UAUCGUUCUGUUUCAGUAUUCCACCAAUUACGAUGAUUCCCGUCCGAAUCGUAGAACCUGCCACGUUCAUCGAAAAUGUGUAUCAUUUGGGGAAGAAUUUUGGACGCGAUAGUUGCGAAAUUUGUAUAGUUUGGAAGG
RNAcentral lists this small RNA (138 nucleotides) under Caenorhabditis elegans. RNAcentral's name for it is "Unclassified non-coding RNA F12A10.14". Lineage: Eukaryota; Metazoa; Nematoda; Chromadorea; Rhabditida; Rhabditidae. The record is from RNAcentral.